This 105-nucleotide small nuclear RNA is filed under the name Dasypus novemcinctus (nine-banded armadillo). Lineage: Eukaryota; Metazoa; Chordata; Mammalia; Cingulata; Dasypodidae. The record is from RNAcentral.
GUGUUUGCUUUGGUAGCACACAUUCCAAAAUUGGAAUGAUACAUGAGGUUAGUGUGGUCUCUGUGCAAGGAUGACACACAAAUUCAUGAAGUGUUCCAUAUUUUU